GAUGAACGCUAGCGGGAGGCCUAACACAUGCAAGCCGAGCGGUAUUGUUUCUUCGGAAAUGAGAGAGCGGCGUACGGGUGCGGAACACGUGUGCAACCUGCCUUUAUCUGGGGGAUAGCCUUUCGAAAGGAAGAUUAAUACUCCAUAACAUAUUGAUUGGCAUCAAUUAAUAUUGAAAGCUCCGGCGGAUAGAGAUGGGCACGCGCAAGAUUAGCUAGUUGGUGAGGUAACGGCUCACCAAGGCGAUGAUCUUUAGGGGGCCUGAGAGGGUGAUCCCCCACACUGGUACUGAGACACGGACCAGACUCCUACGGGAGGCAGCAGUGAGGAAUAUUGGUCAAUGGGUGCAAGCCUGAACCAGCCAUCCCGCGUGAAGGACGACUGCCCUAUGGGUUGUAAACUUCUUUUGUAUAGGGAUAAACCUACCCUCGUGAGGGUAGCUGAAGGUACUAUACGAAUAAGCACCGGCUAACUCCGUGCCAGCAGCCGCGGUAAUACGGAGGGUGCAAGCGUUAUCCGGAUUUAUUGGGUUUAAAGGGUCCGUAGGCGGACUUAUAAGUCAGUGGUGAAAGCCUGUCGCUUAACGAUAGAACUGCCAUUGAUACUGUAAGUCUUGAGUAUAUUUGAGGUAGCUGGAAUAAGUAGUGUAGCGGUGAAAUGCAUAGAUAUUACUUAGAACACCAAUUGCGAAGGCAGGUUACCAAGAUAUAACUGACGCUGAGGGUCGAAAGCGUGGGGAGCGAACAGGAUUAGAUACCCUGGUAGUCCACGCCGUAAACGAUGCUAACUCGUUUUUGGGCUUUAGGGUUCAGAGACCAAGCGAAAGUGAUAAGUUAGCCACCUGGGGAGUACGCUCGCAAGAGUAAAACUCAAAGGAAUUGACGGGGGCCCGCACAAGCGGUGGAUUAUGUGGUUUAAUUCGAUGAUACGCGAGGAACCUUACCAAGACUUAAAUGGGAAUUGACAGCUUUAGAAAUAGAACUUUCUUCGGACAAUUUUCAAGGUGCUGCAUGGUUGUCGUCAGCUCGUGCCGUGAGGUGUUAGGUUAAGUCCUGCAACGAGCGCAACCCCUGUCACUAGUUGCCAUCAUUCAGUUGGGGACUCUAGUGAGACUGCCUACGCAAGUAGAGAGGAAGGUGGGGAUGACGUCAAAUCAUCACGGCCCUUACGUCUUGGGCCACACACGUAAUACAAUGGCCGGUACAGAGGGCAGCUACACAGCGAUGUGAUGCAAAUCUCGAAAGCCGGUCUCAGUUCGGAUUGGAGUCUGCAACUCGACUCUAUGAAGCUGGAAUCGCUAGUAAUCGCGCAUCAGCCAUGGCGCGGUGAAUACGUUCCCGGGCCU
This 1345-nucleotide ribosomal RNA is filed under the name uncultured bacterium. RNAcentral's name for it is "bacterial SSU rRNA". It matches the Rfam family "Bacterial small subunit ribosomal RNA", at positions 28 to 1381 of the family's 1533-position model. The record is from RNAcentral.